RNAcentral lists this unclassified non-coding RNA (348 nucleotides) under soil metagenome. RNAcentral's name for it is "partial contains 5.8S ribosomal RNA, internal transcribed spacer 2, and large subunit ribosomal RNA". The stretch from base 1 to 120 matches the Rfam family "5.8S ribosomal RNA", at positions 35 to 154 of the family's 154-position model. The record is from RNAcentral.
GAUGAAGAACGUAGCGAAAUGCGAUAAGUAAUGUGAAUUGCAGAAUUCAGUGAAUCAUCGAAUCUUUGAACGCACAUUGCGCCCGCCAGUAUUCUGGCGGGCAUGCCUGUCUGAGCGUCAUUUCAACCCUCAUGCCCCUAGGGCGUGGUGUUGGGGAUCGGCCAAAGCCCGCGAGGGACGGCCGGCCCCUAAAUCUAGUGGCGGACCCGUCGUGGCCUCCUCUGCGAAGUAGUGAUAUUCCGCAUCGGAGAGCGACGAGCCCCUGCCGUUAAACCCCCAACUUUCCAAGGUUGACCUCAGAUCAGGUAGGAAUACCCGCUGAACUUAAGUAUAUCAAUAAGCGGAGGA